GACGAACGCUGGCGGCGUGCUUAAUACAUGCAAGUCGAACGGACAGGCCCUGCGUUUGUUUCGUUCUCGAUUGCCGAACGGGUGAGUAACACGUGAGUAACCUCCCCUUGUCUUUGGGAUAACAUCAGGAAACUGGGGCUAAUACCGGAUAGGAUCUCCUGCACCAUGUUGGUGGUAGGAGAGAUUCGGCGGUGGGGGCUGUUCUCGCGGGUUAUCAGCUGCUUUGGGGGGUAGUGGCUUACCAAGGGUUUGACGGGUAGCCGGCCUGAGAGGGGUGCCGGCGACCUGGGGACUGAGGUACGGCGCAGUAGCCUACGGGCGGCAGCAGUGGGAAACAUUGCACAAUGGGGGCGAGCGUGAUACAGCAGCGCUCCGUGCGGAAUGCCGUCUUUCGGGUUGUAAACAGCUUUCGCAUGUGCCGAGCCGUGCGUGACGGUACUGGGUCAAGAAGCACCGGCUAACUACGUG
RNAcentral lists this ribosomal RNA (468 nucleotides) under uncultured bacterium. RNAcentral's name for it is "partial 16S ribosomal RNA". It matches the Rfam family "Bacterial small subunit ribosomal RNA", at positions 28 to 507 of the family's 1533-position model. The record is from RNAcentral.